GUAGGUGGCAAGCGUUGUCCGGAUUUAUUGGGUUUAAAGGGUGCGUAGGCGGUUCCAUAAGUCAGUGGUGAAAUACGGCAGCUCAACUGUCGAGGUGCCAUUGAUACUGCGGAACUUGAGUACUGAUGAGGUAGGCGGAAUUGACGGUGUAGCGGUGAAAUGCUUAGAUAUCGUCAAGAACACCGAUAGCGAAGGCAGCUUACCAAGCAGUAACUGACGCUGCGGCACGAAAGUGCGGGGAUCAAACAGGAUUAGAUACCCUGGUAGUCCGCACAGUAAACGAUGAUUACUCGAUGUUGGCGAUACACAGCCAGCGUCUUAGMGAAAGCGAUAAGUAAUCCACCUGGGGAGUACGCCCKYWAGGGUG
RNAcentral lists this ribosomal RNA (367 nucleotides) under uncultured bacterium. RNAcentral describes it as "bacterial SSU rRNA". It matches the Rfam family "Bacterial small subunit ribosomal RNA", at positions 527 to 896 of the family's 1533-position model. The record is from RNAcentral.